Molecule: ribosomal RNA, 385 nt
Filed under: uncultured bacterium
Lineage: Bacteria
Description: bacterial SSU rRNA
Rfam family: Bacterial small subunit ribosomal RNA
Source: RNAcentral
AGGUCUUGACAUCCUCUGACCACCCUGGAGACAGGGCUUUCCCCUUCGGGGGACAGAGUGACAGGUGGUGCAUGGUUGUCGUCAGCUCGUGUCGUGAGAUGUUGGGUUAAGUCCCGCAACGAGCGCAACCCUUGAUCUUAGUUGCCAGCAUUCAGUUGGGCACUCUAAGGUGACUGCCGGUGACAAACCGGAGGAAGGUGGGGAUGACGUCAAAUCAUCAUGCCCCUUAUGACCUGGGCUACACACGUGCUACAAUGGACGGUACAGAGGGCUGCAAACCCGCGAGGGGGAGCCAAUCCCAGAAAACCGUUCCCAGUUCGGAUUGCAGGCUGCAACUCGCCUGCAUGAAGCCGGAAUCGCUAGUAAUCGCGGAUACAGCAUGCGC